Hypanus sabinus (Atlantic stingray) is the source of this 618-nucleotide long non-coding RNA. RefSeq lists it as uncharacterized. The record is from RefSeq and is a predicted model, not a curated record. NCBI's taxonomy places the organism in Eukaryota, Metazoa, Chordata, Chondrichthyes, Myliobatiformes, Dasyatidae. The transcript is spliced from 3 exons.
CACACCUCCUCAUAAAAUAAUUGGAUCAGGACAGUUAAUUUAAUUGAAAACCCAGGUGAAUCAUUAAUGUGAUUAGUGAGGGAAGUGAGAGGCAUGCCUGUAACAAAGGAGGAAUUUUAGUUUUGUUCUAAGCAUCUUAUGUAUUAAUAUUCCAUUAUAUAGGACAUUUACUAUAUUCCCUUAAUCUAUAAAUAGUUCACAACAAUAACCUAUGUUUCUUGGUAAAUUUAAUUACAAAUGCCAGUGUAUAUCAUUAUUAUUGCAUGUUAUUUGGAACAAUUUCCAGACUUCCACACAUGUGUAUGCUGGCAGCUAACUACACACGAACUCUGGAAAUCUGAUGGGGCAGGACUUAGCUACUUCAUUCCAGAUUUAUUGAAGCAUUCUCUGCCAGUUAUGUGAAGGAACAACUGGCCUGUGCCCCUUGCAUUGAAUGGAAAGGAACGGCUUCAAAAAGUCUUCAAAAAAUGUCCUCAAGACUUACAAGGGAAACUUAACUGGAAGAACUUCAACUGUUCGAUGUGGUGACUCACUACCACCUUUUCAAAGAUGCCAUCAUGAUCAAGUUUCUCUUCAUCAGCUCUAAGAGAAUACCUUCAGCAGAAAGACUGCAGUGGG